Molecule: long non-coding RNA, 665 nt
Organism: Neopsephotus bourkii (Bourke's parrot)
Lineage: Eukaryota; Metazoa; Chordata; Aves; Psittaciformes; Psittacidae
Exons: 3
Source: RefSeq, a predicted model, not a curated record
CAAACUUAGAUCCGAAUUUCAAAGAGCUGUUAUUGAUGACUCCAGUAGCAUUUCCAUGAGUGGAAACUAUCUGUUCUGGGUACAGCACCAGAGAUUGCAAAAACUUCAGGAGUUUGGGCUUCAUUUUUAAAGCUUUACACAUGGGAUCUAACCAACUUACUGGAUGGUACCACUCCCUCCUCCCUAGUCAGAACUGGUCUUCAGAAGAAAGACAGAUAUCCUGAGAAUUGAGGAAGGCUGCAAUUUUCAGGCAUCAUGGUGAUAGUCUCAGGAAAGGAACAAGGAUACAAAGAAAUGUGUUGGUUUUAUCUGUUUGUGAAUGAGACCUUGGCCAAAUAUACUUCAAAAAGGAUACUUCUCUGUUAAUCUCUGCAUUUGUCUGCAAGCUGUCUGGGAAGAUGCCAGAAUCCUAUUACACACCCUUUUUGUGCCUUUAAGCAGUAAGUCCUUCAUUCUCUGCUGUACAAAUAGAUUGCACUUUUUGCAGCAAGCACACUUGUAAAAUACAAGCAUAUUUAUUUAAUAGUUUCAGUAAAAAAAAAAUAUCUCCCUUGAAAUGGGGAGAAAUGUGGUUUGGUUUGUUUUUUUUUUUUUUUUUACUGGAGGUUUUUGUUUGUUUGUUUUUCAUUUGACAUUACCUAGUAUGCCGCUGCCUUGAAGGGGUA